Molecule: long non-coding RNA, 671 nt
Filed under: Corvus moneduloides (New Caledonian crow)
Lineage: Eukaryota; Metazoa; Chordata; Aves; Passeriformes; Corvidae
Description: lncRNA (ENSCMUG00000019072.1)
Source: RNAcentral
CCGUAUAUUGCUUGUCCUGCUUGUUUCUAGCACAGAAAAGAGUGCUGUACCCACAAAUGUGUUUGAUCAGGUAUAGGACCUUGUUGCUGCUGCAUGUGUAAUCAACUUCUGCCAUUAAUGUUCCUCUGGGAGCUGGUAAAUGAGUAGCAUGUGUAAUUUCUUCAUUAGCAUACCUGUUUACUCCCAACUGUGCUUUGAAGUAGAUUGAGGCAGGCUUCCCAUCCGGCAAAUGCUGUUCCUGGACUGGAUCCACCACAGUGGAAGCUUGACAGCCACCUAUGAGGAAAGUGGACUUUGUGACACAUGAAAGAGACCCCUGGGCCUUGAAGCUACUAUGUGGCAGGGAAAUACUUCAUGUCUGCCAAAAGCCUUGGAAGUGCCUCUCAUGGCUGCUCUGUUGUUCUGCAUAAAGCAAGACGUGUAUUUGCAUGUCCUCCUGCUCUGGCUCCAGCAGAAACCACCUGAAGGAUUUUCUGAAUGGUCAGAUCCUCCUCCUAUAGCGCUAAUCAACACAGCAAUGCACAGAUUUUGCCUUUGGAGAGAUGUUCAAAUCAGGAGAUCCUAUGGAAAAUCUUCAGGACUGUUUGAAAUUCCCAUCUGUGGAGCUCUUGUGUCGAGCAGUCAAGUGCUUGCUUGUGCUGCUGUCCAGAAGUUCAGACAAUGACCUAUUU